Molecule: long non-coding RNA, 1670 nt
Organism: Symphalangus syndactylus (siamang)
Lineage: Eukaryota; Metazoa; Chordata; Mammalia; Primates; Hylobatidae
Source: RefSeq, a predicted model, not a curated record
CCAAGUCAUUUUCUAACAAUGAACAGCCUGUCAAGUCGAGCCGCAGACAUAGACAAGCCAGCUGGGAACUUGUACGGGUGAAUGUCGGCGGCACCUAGGGACUAGACACGUUCAAGAUGGCGGCUCCAUCUUCCCGGGAGGAACUAACGACUAGACACGUUCAAGAUGGCGGCCCCAUCUUCCGGGCAGGAACUAGGGACUAGACACGUUCAAGAUGGCAGCUCCAUCUUCCCGGCAGGAACUAGAGACUAGACACGUUCAAGAUGGCGGCUCCAUCUUCCCGGCAGGAACUAGGGACUAGGCACGUUCAAAACGGCGGAUCCAUCUUCCCAGCAGGAACUAGAGACUAGACACAUUCAAGGGAGCGGCUCCAUCUUCCCUCCUCUUUGUCAGCCACAUGUAAAGCAAAGAGCAGAACAUACUGAAAAUCAGCAACUCUUGGAUCCAUCAGAAAAUAGAGAUAACAAGACUAAAUGCUGCCUCAAGACUGGACAGACAGGAGGUCACAGUACUCCAACCACAGAAAUGAGAUGCCUCAAGGGAGGCAGAGGCAGAAAGAAGCCGUCACUACCAAGAAUAAAUAAAGCCAGCAGAGCCACAGUGAUGGCCUGUGUGCUGCAGGUGAGCAUCACCUUGUCGUAAGACCACAGGCCUUCCUGGCCACCCUGUUCAGUUGGCCUCGUGGUGGGAGUCACUAGACUCAAGAUAAACCCAGCCAGACCAUCUGGUUGGAACUACCCAAGGAAAGGCCAUUGUCAGCACAAAGUCAGUGGAGUCUUAGAAUGCACAGCUGUGAUGGGCUGAUUCCUUCUUCCAAAUCCCUAUGUUAAAGCCCUAAUGCCCAGGACCUCAGAAUGUCACCAUAUUUGGAGAUAGAGUCUUUAAAGAGGUGAUGAAGGUAAAACGAAGUCACCAGGGAGGGCCCUAAUCCGAGAAGACUGGGGUACUUAUAAGAAGAGAUGAGGCCGGGUGUGGUGGCUCACGCCUGUAAUCCCAGUACUUUGGGAGGCCGAGGCGGGUGGAUCACGAGGUCAGGAGAUCGAGACCAUCCUGGCUAACACGGUGAAACUCCGUCUCUACUAAAAAUAGAAAAAAUUAGCCAGGCAUGGUGGCACGCGCCUGUAGUCCCAGCUACUCGGGAGGCUGAGGCAGGAGAAUCGCUUGAACCCGGGAGGUGGAGGUUGCAGUGAGCCAAGACUGUGCCACUACACUCCAGCUGGGCAACAGUGCAAGAUUCCAUCUCACAAAAAAAAAAAAAAAAAGAGGAGGAGAUGAGGACACAGACACACACAGAAUGACGACCUGUGAGGACACACUGAGAAGAUGGCAUCUACAAGCCUAAGAGAGAGGCCUCAGGAGGAACCAGCCCUGCCCACACCUUGAUCUUGGACUUCCAGCCUCCAGGAUUGUGGGAGAAUAAACGUCUGCUGUUUACAAGCCACCCAGUCUAUGGUAUUCUGUGAUAGCAGCCUGAAAUGGACUAAGACACCUCACAAGAGGAGGAGAUGAGGACACAGACACAGACAGAGGAAGGACUCUGUGAGGACACAGGGAGAAGACGGCAUCUACAAGCCCAGCAGAGAGGCCUCAGGAAGAACCAGCCCUGCCCACACUUUGAUCUCAGACUUCCAGCCUUCAGAACUGUGGGAAAAUAAAAGUCUGCUGUUUAA